Long non-coding RNA from Malaclemys terrapin pileata, 2217 nucleotides. RefSeq lists it as uncharacterized. NCBI's taxonomy places the organism in Eukaryota, Metazoa, Chordata, Testudines, Emydidae. The record is from RefSeq and is a predicted model, not a curated record. The transcript is spliced from 3 exons.
CCGGGUGCAUAGAGAACUACAACUCCUAUAAGGUUCCGCGCCGCGCAGCCGCAGAGAAAACCGGGUGUGGGAGGGGGACGGAGAGGGUGCGCUUGGCGGCCAUGUUGGUGGUGUGGGUUCGCCGUUAGCUCGGAGGAGCGGCCGGGAAAUCGGAUUAAAAUGUCGGCAAGGGGAGGGCGGGAGCUGAAUACUCAGGGGCGAGUAAGGAAAGGGAGGAAACAGGGAUGGGGGGGUCGCGUCUCUUCUCCCUCCAGACGGACGGGUGGGCGCGGCGGCCAAUAGACCCCGCAGUGCGUUCGGUUAUCACCCCCUCCCCCAGCGUUGACGGUGCGGCGUGCUUAAGUCCUCCCUGCGGAGGGAUCAACCUUGGUGAAGGGGGGCGGGGGGUUGCUGAGUAGAACCGUGCGCGGAAAGGCCCCGACGGAGCCCUAGCAGCGACCGGCUCCAUCUGCCCCACGGACGGCAGCGGCCGAGGCCUCUGGCCCACCAGAGCGACGCCCGCGGAUGCGUGGCUAGGCCUCUCGGCCCCUGUAGGAGAUGUUGCAAUGUUCCUGCCCUUCAUCGAUGGAAGAUAUACUGAUGCUGAGGAAAUGGAAUGCAACUGUCCCUCCCCUGCCUCUCUUUUUUUAAACUGCAGGUUCCCAUGCUCAGAAUUUUGAGCCAACACUCUGCCUUCUCCCUCCUCCUACAAAACUACCAGUUGGGAUUGAUGUAGGGGGUGCACUUCAGGCCUUAAUUUUAGCUGGAGUCAAAUAAAAAUAUUGCCAUGUUGGUAACUGAAGAAAAGGUAAAUGAUGUGGUGUAUGUUGUUGGAUCAAAAUGGCAAAAAUGUCUUGCACCUCAUGGUUCCUCUUUCAGAGGAAUGCAGAUGUUACAAAAAGCAGUUUUACCAAGUGCCGCAUUCUUUUCCUAGUUUCUUCACUGCCUGAGUCAGUAUCUACUGGAAUAAUUUAUGCUAAGGAGGAGAAAUGAGGGUUUUGUUUUUUGAGAUGGUUGGGGAUAUAUAAUUGCAGAAGAACAGCUGUCUAAACUCUUCAAAUUAAAUCUGGCCUAGAUCUGUGCAGCUGGAACCUCUUCAUAUUAAGCAAAAGUGGUAAGUAUUUUGAUGGAGUACUUAAAUAAUGUUUGAUUUUCCUUCUGUGAAAGACUGUUCUUAUCUGCUAACAUGUUGUCAGAGAUGAAUCAGCCUGCUUUUUCAUCUUUACGACAGACUUCCUGACCAGCAAACAGCGAAGUGUGGUGGGCAGAUUCUAGAAACAACUUUCUUCAGUGGAUGAUGUGUGGGAAGUCUGCUUUGUACACCUUCACUGCUGUCCCCUAUUUUUAGGAAUAUACAAUUUACUUUGAUUCCAAUGUUUUCUUUGCCUAAAGAAAAUAGGUUUCCUCUUCCCACGAAGACAUAGAAGGUUGAUGCUCGUCACAGCAGUUGCCAGGGAAGGCCAAUUUAAACAAAGCAGGGGGCAAUUGCAAUAUCAGUUUGCCUUGUAAGUCUGGUGCAUGAAAAGUGAUGCAACAAAAUCUAUUCUAUAUUACAUAAUUCACUUUCCCCCCCACCAGUGUGGAGCUUUCCAAUCUUUGUUACUGUCAGUCUGCAGCCAUCUGGUGAUGUUCAUUAAUCACAAUUUGCCAUGGCCUUCAGAAGUUUCACUUACACAUGUCACACUGGAUCUCUAAAGUGAUUUUCUAGAAUUUCUAUGUUUUAAAUCAUUAAGGAUAUAGUUCCAAGUUACACAACAUGCUCACACUAGUGCUCUGUAGUGUUGCAGGAGAUGGUGCUGGAGUAGUGGAAGUGCUGUUACUUUGGAUAACAUGGUAAAAGUUUAAGUGGUUCUGUAGUUGAAGACUGAGCUUGACACUUCUCAAAAUAAGUAGGUGAAUCCUCUGUCUAUUCUAAUACUGCUUUUGUCAGUAAACUCAUUCCAGUGUUUGUACAACACCUCAGUCCCCAUUAUGUUUGCCUGUACUUGCACUGUUAGUGUAAUCUAACCUUUUAUGAUGGGAAGACACUUUAGACUGUCACAAUUGUUAAAGUGACUGUAGUCCAGUGGCUUUCAAACUUUUUUUUUCUGGCGACCCAGUUGAAGAAAAUUGAUGCCUACGACCCAACAGAGCUGGGGAUGAGGUGUUUGGGCAUGAGGGAGCUUAGGGCUGGGGCAGAGGGUUGGGGUGCAGGAAGGGGGUCAGGGCUGUGGGCUGGUGGUGCAGCCUCAGAUGGGA